This 254-nucleotide ribosomal RNA is filed under the name uncultured bacterium. Its description in RNAcentral is "partial 16S ribosomal RNA". It matches the Rfam family "Bacterial small subunit ribosomal RNA", at positions 524 to 776 of the family's 1533-position model. The record is from RNAcentral.
UACGGGGGAUGCAAGCGUUAUCCGGAUUUAUUGGGUUUAAAGGGUGCGUAGGCUGUGAGGUAAGUCAGCGGUGAAAUGCCCCCGCUCAACGGGGUGAAGUGCCAUUGAUACUGCCUUGCUGGAAUGCGGAUGCCGUGGGAGGAAUGUGUGGUGUAGCGGUGAAAUGCUUAGAUAUCACACAGAACACCGAUUGCGAAGGCAUCUCACGAAUCCGCGAUUGACGCUGAUGCACGAAAGCGUGGGUAUCAAACAGG